UACAGAGGGUGCAAGCGUUAAUCGGAUUUACUGGGCGUAAAGCGCGCGUAGGUGGCCAAUUAAGUCAAAUGUGAAAUCCCCGAGCUUAACUUGGGAAUUGCAUUCGAUACUGGUUGGCUAGAGUAUGGGAGAGGAUGGUAGAAUUCCAGGUGUAGCGGUGAAAUGCGUAGAGAUCUGGAGGAAUACCGAUGGCGAAGGCAGCCAUCUGGCCUAAUACUGACACUGAGGUGCGAAAGCAUGGGGAACAAACAGG
This 253-nucleotide ribosomal RNA is filed under the name uncultured bacterium. RNAcentral's name for it is "partial 16S ribosomal RNA". It matches the Rfam family "Bacterial small subunit ribosomal RNA", at positions 524 to 776 of the family's 1533-position model. The record is from RNAcentral.